GAUUUCUGGUAUUGCGCGUUUGGCCCACAGCUACGGCUGGCGCGUGCCGUUACUCGCUUACCAUCCUUCUGGGGAGGGUCUCGCAUCACUUUAAUGUGUUCGAGUUCUGUAACCAGAUCUUUUACUUUGAAAAAAUUAGAGUGUUUCAAGCAGGCUUUAUGCUAUGAAUACAUUAGCAUGGAAUAAUAAUUUAGGACUUCGGUUCUAUUUUGUUGGUUUCUAGGACUGAAGUAAUGAUUGAUAGGGAUAGUUGGGGGUGCUAGUAUUCAGCGGCCAGAGGUGAAAUUCUCGGAUUCGCUGAAGACUAACUUAUGCGAAAGCAUU
Molecule: ribosomal RNA, 324 nt
Filed under: uncultured Sandona
Lineage: Eukaryota; Cercozoa; Glissomonadida
Description: SSU rRNA
Rfam family: Eukaryotic small subunit ribosomal RNA (bases 109-324)
Source: RNAcentral